GACGAACGCUGGCGGCGUGCCUAAUACAUGCAAGUUGAGCGCUGAAGGUUGGUACUUGUACCAAUUGGAUGAGCAGCGAACGGGUGAGUAACGCGUGGGUAAUCUGCCUUUGAGCGGGGGACAACAUUUGGAAACGAUUGCUAAUACCGCAUAAAAACUUUAAACACAAGUUUUAAGUUUGAAAGAUGCAAUUGCAUCACUCAAAGAUGAUCCCGCGUUGUAUUAGCUAGUUGGUGAGGUAAAGGCUCACCAAGGCGAUGAUACAUAGCCGACCUGAGAGGGUGAUCGGCCACAAUGGGACUGAGACACGGCCCAAACUCCUACGGGAAGCAGCAGGAGGGAAACUUCGGCAAAGGACGAAAGGCUGAACGAGCAACGCCGCCGGAGGGAAGAAGGUUUUCGGAUCGGAAAAAUCUGUUGGUAGAGAAGAACGUUGGGGGGAGGGGAAAGCUCAUAAAGUGACGGUAACUACCCAGAAAGGGACGGCUAACUACGUG
Molecule: ribosomal RNA, 497 nt
Filed under: uncultured bacterium
Lineage: Bacteria
Description: partial 16S ribosomal RNA
Rfam family: Bacterial small subunit ribosomal RNA
Source: RNAcentral